AUAAAUCUUUUUUUAUGAAAACGUGAAAAUUAAAAAAUUGCAUGAUUACAUUAUUAUUUUUAAAUUGAUCAAAAAUUAACAUCAAUUGUACUUAAUUUUGUAAGUGUUGUUAAGGCACAAGACAUGAUGAAAUCUGUUAAAUCUUUAUAUAUAUUACUCAGUUUUUAUUUGCUUCAUAUUAAAUAAAAAUAUUAAGUAUUUACAAUUUUUUAAUUUAAGCGCACAACUAUUAUUCUCUAGUAUCGAUAGAAUUUUAACAAAAAUACAGUUUAUCUCUAACAUUGUAUUUGCACAAAUAAAUGUAAAUGUUAUGUUUCCUGGGUUACACGACAUUUUCCCGAAAACUAGAUGAGAAAAUGUUGGUACUAACCAAAUUCUCUAGGCAAUACCGUUUCAAUUUCUGCAGGUUAGUAACACUGUUAAAGUAGUAAAUCCAAGGUUUGCAGAGUCGGUUUUGACGUAUGCGCGCGUAUAUGUCAAACAAUAAAUAUUAUAUAAAUGAUUUAUGACAUUUGAUUUAAUAAAUGAAUAAAAAUUACACAAAUAACUAAAAAUAUAGUGCAUAGAGAUGAACAAGUUUCUUUGAUGUGCCUUGACAGACAAGAUUUAUGAUUGAAAUCUGGUUUUCCAUAUUAAAAUCAUUGUCAGCCGAGAAACAAAAUCUGUGCAAAAUAAAAUAGAAACAUAAAGAAGGAAGAGGGAAAAAAAUAAAUGGAGAAUAAACAAAUAUAUAUUAGAUAAGUAGCUAAUAUCUUUAUAAAAAAUCAUGUAUUCUAUAUGUGCUUUUUGUAGAUGAACCGAUUCUUUUCUUGAAUUAAUUUUUUGUUUCAGCUUCUUAGCCAAUUGUAGAAUGUUGACAGCUGGACCACCAGAGAACAAUUUCUUGCCGAAUAAAGCUGUCAAAUUCUAAGCCUGCUACUUCUUCGAGUAUGUCAAAAUUGUGAGCAAAAAAGUUGAAAUUAUAUUGUAACAUCAAUUAGAUUUAUCAACGGUGGAGUAACAGAUUGAUACAACAAACUGAGAGCAGGUUUGUCGAAAUUGUUUGUUCUACAAAGCAUAUGUGCUGUUUGUCUCAGCAAUGUACCGACAUUAUUUAAACUAAAAGAGAUCCCAGAUAGCACGGAGAGUUUAAAAAGAACUCAAUUGUAUGUCACCAAUUAUGUUACCAAUUAUCAAUUCUUUUUGAAUCUCUGUGCUAUCUGGGAUACUAUUGUGUUUAUCGUCAACCUGUCAUGAACGCUUUCGAUAGACCUGCUCAUUGUUUACUGUUAUUUUGUUAUAUAGUCUGCUGAUCGGUAUACACCUUUUAUCUUUCAGCAAACAGAAAAUGUGCUACCUACAUUGGCUUUUACAAGAAUGGGUUUAGAAGUAGCGAUGGAUGCUUGUCCAACAAUCGAAGAUCAUUUCAUAAGUGAAUACACUAUUUGAUGUAAAAUAAACCAAAAUUAUCUUUUUAAAAACGGUAAAAAAGACGCCAAGUGUAUGCUGUAGAAAACACCUCUUAAAUGUAAGAUAGUCUUCAUCUAAUUCAACCCAAGUAAUAUCACGAGCCUUCUUAUACUAUGACUAAAAUGUAACUUUAAUUAUUAAACUAAUAAUUAUUUUAAAUGAAUUAUACUCACAAACACACACACACACACAUUAACUACAAAAAUAAUGAUAUCAAAAUAUUUCUUUAACGAUAAUUUGUUUUACUUCAAAUAGUAUAUGUUUACUUACGAAAUGAUACUCGAUGUUACAAUGUGAUAUCAACUUUUUUGCUUACAAUUUUGGCAUACUCAAGGAAGUAGCAGGCUUAGAAUUUGACAGCAUACUCGGCAAGGAAUUGUUCUCUGAUGGUUCAGCUGUCAACAUUCUACAAUUAGCAAAGAAGCUGAAACAAAAAAUUAAUUCAAGAAAAGAAUCGGUUCAUCUACAAAAAGCACAUAUAGAAUACAUAAUUUCUUAUAAAGAUAUUAACUACUUAUC
Molecule: long non-coding RNA, 1968 nt
Filed under: Monomorium pharaonis (pharaoh ant)
Lineage: Eukaryota; Metazoa; Arthropoda; Insecta; Hymenoptera; Formicidae
Description: uncharacterized LOC118648872
Source: RNAcentral